RNAcentral lists this ribosomal RNA (404 nucleotides) under uncultured bacterium. Its description in RNAcentral is "partial 16S ribosomal RNA". It matches the Rfam family "Bacterial small subunit ribosomal RNA", at positions 28 to 526 of the family's 1533-position model. The record is from RNAcentral.
GACGAACGCUGGCGGCGUGCUUAACACAUGCAAGUCGAGCGGAGCGGCGAACGGGUGAGUAACGCGUGAGUAACUGCCCCCCUCCCUGGGAUAACAGUUGGAAACGGCUGCUAAUACCGGAUAGUGGGGGAUGACUCGCGUCCUAUCAGCUUGUUGGUGGGGUAGUGGCCUACCACGGCGACGACGGGUAGCCGGCCUGAGAGGGCGACCGGCCACAUUGGGCUGGGGUACGGCCCAAACUCGUACGGGGGGCAGCAGUGGGGAGUAUUGCACAAUGGGGGAAACCCUGAGGCAGAAGCGCGCGGGCGGGAUGGCGGCCUUCGGGUUGUAAACCGCUUUCAGCCAUGACGCGGUAGUGGCAGAAGAAGCACCGGCUAACUACGUGCCAGCAGCCGCGGUAAUAC